AGAAUCUUCCGCAAUGGGCGAAAGCCUGACGGAGCGACGCCGCGUGGAGGACGAAGGCCUUCGGGUUGUAAACUCCUGUCACGAGUUAAGAAGGGGCUGUCACGAACAGUGGUAGACCCUGACGUAAGCUCGAGAGGAAGCACUGGCUAACUCUGUGCCAGCAGCCGCGGUAAUACAGAGAGUGCAAACGUUGUUCGGAAUUACUGGGCUUAAAGCGCACGUAGGCGGCAUCGCAAGUGUGGGGUGAAAUCCCACGGCUUACCCGUGGAACUGCCUGGCAGACUGCGGUGCUCGAGUGUGGUAGGGGAGAGCGGAACUCCUGGUGGAGCGGUGAAAUGCGUAGAUAUCAGGAGGAACACCGGUGGCGAAGGCGGCUCUCUGGUCCACAACUGACGCUGAGGUGCGAAAGCUAGGGGAGCAAA
Molecule: ribosomal RNA, 422 nt
Filed under: uncultured bacterium
Lineage: Bacteria
Description: bacterial SSU rRNA
Rfam family: Bacterial small subunit ribosomal RNA
Source: RNAcentral